RNAcentral lists this ribosomal RNA (253 nucleotides) under uncultured bacterium. RNAcentral's name for it is "partial 16S ribosomal RNA". It matches the Rfam family "Bacterial small subunit ribosomal RNA", at positions 524 to 776 of the family's 1533-position model. The record is from RNAcentral.
UACGUAGGGAGCAAGCGUUGUCCGGAAUCAUUGGGCGUAAAGCGCGCGUAGGUGGCCCCGUAAGUCCGUUGUGAAAGUCAAAGGCUCAACCUUUGAAAGCCGAUGGAUACUGUGGGGCUAGAGUCCGGAAGAGGCGAGUGGAAUUCCUGGUGUAGCGGUGGAAUGCGCAGAUAUCAGGAGGAACACCAACGGCGAAGGCAGCUCGCUGGGACGGUACUGACGCUAAGGCGCGAAAGCGUGGGGAGCGAACAGG